Molecule: non-coding RNA, 249 nt
Organism: Cinara cedri
Lineage: Eukaryota; Metazoa; Arthropoda; Insecta; Hemiptera; Aphididae
Source: the annotation of a GenBank genome assembly
AACAGUAGCCACGAGCUAUACCUAAUACAUGGCCGCCCAACUAUGAGCACGAUCAUGAUCAUAUAGGUAAAAAUGUAUUACCUUACUAUACUUUCAACUACUUUUAAGCAUUGCGCUACAUUAUUUCUACGAUUUGCUGUAUAUAGUUUUGAUUAAAAGGUAAAUCAACUAUAUCUCGUGGUAUAUCCGAGAAAAUUGAACAUUUUCCACCAUCGCGAACGAAUUGCCAUUAAAUGUAGUUACUCCUUU